ACGGGUGAGUAACGCGUGGGAAUCUACCGUACCCUACGGAAUAGCUCUGGGAAACUGGAAGUAAUACCGUAUACGCCCUAACGGGGAAAGAUUUAUCGGGGUAUGAUGAGCCCGCGUUGGAUUAGCUAGUUGGUGGGGUAAAGGCCUACCAAGGCGACGAUCCAUAGCUGGUCUGAGAGGAUGAUCAGCCACAUUGGGACUGAGACACGGCCCAAACUCCUACGGGAGGCAGCAGUGGGGAGUAUUGGACAAUGGGGGCAACCCUGAUCCAGCCAUGCCGCGUGAGUGAUGAAGGUCUUAGGAUUGUAAAGCUCUUUCAACGGUGAAGAUAAUGACGGUAACCGUAGAAGAAGCCCCGGCUAACUUCGUGCCAGCAGCCGCGGUAAUACGAAGGGGGCUAGCGUUGUUCGGAAUUACUGGGCGUAAAGCGCACGUAGGCGGGUAUUUAAGUCAGGGGUGAAAUCCCGCAGCUCAACUGCGGAACUGCCUUUGAUACUGGGUAUCUUGAGUAUGGAAGAGGUAAGUGGAAUUGCGAGUGUAGAGGUGAAAUUCGUAGA
RNAcentral lists this ribosomal RNA (557 nucleotides) under uncultured bacterium. Its description in RNAcentral is "bacterial SSU rRNA". It matches the Rfam family "Bacterial small subunit ribosomal RNA", at positions 102 to 694 of the family's 1533-position model. The record is from RNAcentral.